GAGCUCUAGUACGUACGCACUUUCUGUCCCAUCCCCCAGAGGCCUCAACCAAUCAAUGGCAAGCAGACAUGCCCACUUGUCAAUGGCUGACAUAAUGGAGAGGAUUUACGCACCAAUACGACAGUGAUGCAUUGCGGUGAAGACCGGGAGAUUGAGCGGCCAGCGGAGGAAGAGAAGACUGGAGAAAAGCUGCAUGAAAAAUUGCGCUUGAUAUGCAUGGAGAAAUACAACUCUGUUAAACGGCACGCCUGGCUCAUGUGACGUGAUACACGUGGAACGGUAAGCGGCCGGGAGCAGAGCAGGAGAGAGGAUUGGGAGUGACGGCAACAUCACGACAUGCCGAAAAACAUUUGGAAAAAUCUUGUUAAAAGCAUUAAAACUUUGGUUAAACCU
Long non-coding RNA from Entelurus aequoreus (snake pipefish), 393 nucleotides. RefSeq lists it as uncharacterized. The record is from RefSeq and is a predicted model, not a curated record. NCBI's taxonomy places the organism in Eukaryota, Metazoa, Chordata, Actinopteri, Syngnathiformes, Syngnathidae. The transcript has 4 exons.